CAUACUGAUAUAAACCCAAGAUCAGGACCAAGACAGGGCUCAAGGCAUUGAAACAUACAGAGAAAUAUUGGGGGAAACCUGCAGAUUUUAGAUGCUUACUGUAUUCACUGGCUGAAGAGUCAUCUGUGCGUACACCUCAUCAGUAUCCGGGUCUGCCUGAAAAAUCAAGAGACGACAUCUUUUCAGAAUUGAUGAUCGCGGGCGCGCCGUGUCAAACAGUUUGGACGACGGGCUGUUAGAUUACUUGCAAAGUGACGCUGUGCAGAAGACAUAUCAACUUUGAGGGAAGAUUGGGGUAGCUCGGUACGUGAGCUUCCACAUCCUUUUGCAUAGAAGCUGCAACCUGAACCAGACACAUACCAAGCCCAAUGCAGAAUCAGUGGAAGGUGCAGCAGGAAUCAGGACCAUAAAUGCAAGCAAUACAAAGCUAUACAUGGAUGCAUGUUGCAUGCACCAAACUUGAUAACAAGAAAACAGUACUCCUAUACUCUACAAGGCACCAAAAGCCAACAGAAGGAAAGGAAGCAAGUAGGCCCAGAGCUCCCAACAAUUCCUCCAAUAACCCAAGAAUACCACUGGCUUGAGAAAGCAAUUAGUAGCAAGCAAGUGUAGCCCUCCAAUCACAACUACUGAAAAUGCAACAUAUCCAUGAUA
Molecule: long non-coding RNA, 654 nt
Organism: Triticum aestivum (bread wheat)
Lineage: Eukaryota; Viridiplantae; Streptophyta; Magnoliopsida; Poales; Poaceae
Exons: 2
Source: RefSeq, a predicted model, not a curated record